GCCUAGCCGUAAACAAUUAACUUACACCCACACCGCCAGGGAAUUACGAGCAAUGCUUAAAACCCAAAGGAUUUGACGGUGUCCCACCCCACUAGAGGAGCCUGUUCUAUAAUCGAUGAUCCCCGCUUCACCUAACCAUGCCUCGCUUAUCAGUCUGUAUACCUCCGUCGAAAGCCUACCAUGUGAACGUCCGCAGUAGGCUCAAUGAUUCACCAUCAACACGUCAGGUCAAGGUGCAGCUCAAGGAAUGGAAAGCAAUGGGCUACAAUUUCUAACUUAGAACAAACGAAAGACUAUGUGAAAUCCUAGUCAUGAAGGUGGAUUUAGUAGUAAAAAGAAACUAGAGUGUUCUUUUUAACCUGGCUCUGGGACGCGUACACACCGCCCGUCACCCUCUUCGAUAGUACCUUAUUUGUUCCUAACCAAACAUCACAUUUUAGAAGAGGCAAGUCGUAACAUGGUAAGUGUACUGGAAAGUGCACUUGGUAUACUACAAGAUGUAGCUUAA
Molecule: ribosomal RNA, 508 nt
Filed under: Rana johnsi (John's groove-toed frog)
Lineage: Eukaryota; Metazoa; Chordata; Amphibia; Anura; Ranidae
Description: partial 12S ribosomal RNA
Rfam family: Bacterial small subunit ribosomal RNA
Source: RNAcentral